RNAcentral lists this ribosomal RNA (485 nucleotides) under uncultured bacterium. RNAcentral describes it as "bacterial SSU rRNA". It matches the Rfam family "Bacterial small subunit ribosomal RNA", at positions 56 to 524 of the family's 1533-position model. The record is from RNAcentral.
UGCAAGUCGAGCGGUAGAGAGAAGCUUGCUUCUCUUGAGAGCGGCGGACGGGUGAGUAACACGUGGGCAACCUGCCCUGCAGACUGGGAUAACUUCGGGAAACCGGAGCUAAUACCGGAUAACACCGAAAACCGCAUGGUUUUCGGUUGAAAGGCGGCUUUUAGCUGUCACUGCAGGAUGGGCCCGCGGCGCAUUAGCUAGUUGGUGAGGUAACGGCUCACCAAGGCGACGAUGCGUAGCCGACCUGAGAGGGUGAUCCCCCACACUGGUACUGAGACACGGCCCAGACUCCUACGGGAGGCAGCAGUAGGGAAUCUUCCGCAAUGGACGAAAGUCUGACGGAGCAACGCCGCGUGAGCGAAGAAGGUCUUCGGAUCGUAAAGCUCUGUUGUCAGGGAAGAACAAGUGCCGUUCGAACAGGGCGGUACCUUGACGGUACCCGACGAGGAAGCCACGGCUAACUACGUGCCAGCAGCCGCGGUAAU